Molecule: long non-coding RNA, 584 nt
Filed under: Amborella trichopoda
Lineage: Eukaryota; Viridiplantae; Streptophyta; Magnoliopsida; Amborellales; Amborellaceae
Description: long non-coding RNA (ATRI_LNC000902)
Source: RNAcentral
UUCAAUCGCCAUGAGAGCAGCAGUCAUGGCGAUGAAUAUGGGAGACCCAGCAGUCGUGGCGAUGAGUAUGGGAGGUCCAGGCUUCCACAGGGCCAGGAUGUUAGGGUUUUUACCUUGGCUGAAACCAACUACUCUCUCACCAUCCGAGGGGAAUCUGUGGUCUUGGCUCCUGCCAACCCUGAUGAUGAAUUACAGGCAUCUCUCUCUCUCUCCCUGUGUGUGGACACACUUCCUUGACAUUCGUCAAUAAAAAUCCUCUCUUUCUCUCUCUGUUUUUUUUAUUUACCAAUAAAAUUCUCUCUUUCUCUCUCCGUUUUUUUGUUAAUAAAAAGUCUCUCUUUCUCUCUCUUCUUUUUUUUUUUCCCUAUUUGACAUAUGGGUCUACUGAAUUCUUACUUUUGUUCUGAACAUACUUGGAUCCUAAUUGGUUUUGCCAUAUGGGUUUACUGAAUUAUUAUUUUUAUUCUAAUAUAUAAGUUUUUUAUGUUGGUUGUCUUUGCUUACAGCAUUGGAUCCAUCUCCAUAGUCAAUACAUUUCUUUUACCUUCAUCAAUCACCUCUUUCUUUCUUUUUUUCUGUUUUUU